This 84-nucleotide transfer RNA is filed under the name Neolentinus lepideus HHB14362 ss-1. It matches the Rfam family "tRNA". From Rfam's summary of the family: Transfer RNA (tRNA) molecules are approximately 80 nucleotides in length. The record is from Rfam by way of RNAcentral. Lineage: Eukaryota; Fungi; Basidiomycota; Agaricomycetes; Gloeophyllales; Gloeophyllaceae.
UGCCCCAUGGCUGAGUUGGUUACAGCGUCCGACUGUUAUUAUUAUGGCAUCGGAAGGUCGUGAGUUCGAGCCUCACUGGGGCAG